GGAGCCAUAGCUCAGUGGUAGAGCGCUUCGUUCACAUCGAAGAGGUCUGUGGUUCAAGUCCACAUGGCUCCA
This 72-nucleotide transfer RNA is filed under the name Candidatus Daviesbacteria bacterium. RNAcentral's name for it is "tRNA-Val". It matches the Rfam family "tRNA". From Rfam's summary of the family: Transfer RNA (tRNA) molecules are approximately 80 nucleotides in length. Their secondary structure includes four short double-helical elements and three loops (D, anti-codon, and T loops). The record is from RNAcentral. Lineage: Bacteria; Candidatus Daviesiibacteriota.